Molecule: long non-coding RNA, 1149 nt
Filed under: Anser cygnoides (Swan goose)
Lineage: Eukaryota; Metazoa; Chordata; Aves; Anseriformes; Anatidae
Description: lncRNA (ENSACDG00005017214.1)
Source: RNAcentral
NNNCAUCCGCCCCAAAGCUGCCGGGCACCCCGGAGCGGGAGGCGGAUGCCGCAGCCCCGCAGCAUCGACGCCUUUGAGGCCACGCGGCGUCCUCCAGCCUCCUCCCACCCCAAAUGUGCUGCGGCACCUCGGGCGGCUCCGUCCCGGCUGCCUCAUAGCGGGGGCCACGGUGUGCCCCCGGGGGUGGGGGGGAGCGAGCGGCUGCGGCGUGCGGCACGCGGGAGCACGUGCACGGCGGGCACCGGCGGCCUCGUGGCUGUAGGGAGCGCGUGGCAGCUCGGGGACGUUUGGGAGGGGGCGAUGCGGGAGGGGUUUGGUGGCGGUGGGACCGUCACCCUUGCACGGUCCUUGGCUUUGGGCAGGGUGACAGCUCGGUCACCUUCAGCUGAGCACUGUGCCAAGGGGGAGGGAGCCGUGCACAUCAGCCAGCGGGGAGCAGCACCCAUGGGUGCUUGCAGGCUGGCACGUAAGCACCCGUCAGGAUUAUUCUUAUCGUGGUGUGGGAGAAAAUGCAAUCGCCGCCGGGGAGCGGGAGGAUUGCGAGCAGCAGCCGAGGGCAGGGCGACCGCGGUGGCUCCGCUCCCGCGUGCCUCGGCUCGGCGAAGGGACGCGGGGUCCCUGCAUGGCACGGGGCUGGAGCGCGGUGCCCAGCGUGGGGACCACGGGGGUGGGGGAUGCUGCGUGUCGGGGAGGCCGGAGGGGAAGCGGGCAGGGCAGCGGGGCCGGAGGGCCGUGCCAAGCCGGAAGGAAGGAGGGAAGGGGAAGGAAGGGGCUGGGGAGCCACGCUCCGGCGUCCCCGCUCCGUGCGGCGGGGGCUGCUCCGUCGUGCAAACGCGGGGGCGGAGGCGGCGUUUUUUUGGGGAGCGGGGCCCAUUCCUGGGGCUCCCCAAGGUGCCACCGCUGCCGGCCAAGGCCAGCACGGUGCGGGCAGAGCUCGCCAGCCCCGGCUGCAACAGGCUCCCCACCGCCAGCACGGACGGGGGCACCGUGCGGGUGGUGGCGGUGGCUCCGGAGCCGGUGUCAUGGCCAGGCUAGGGACAGCGAGGGCUGGCAGCGCCUGGGGACUGGGGGUGCUUGGGGACCGGGGGCACCUGGGGCGUACGCAGCCAGGGAUAGCUCUGGAGAGGGGACGUUGGGGCUGGGGGUGUC